Molecule: ribosomal RNA, 468 nt
Filed under: uncultured bacterium
Lineage: Bacteria
Description: partial 16S ribosomal RNA
Rfam family: Bacterial small subunit ribosomal RNA
Source: RNAcentral
GACGAACGCUGGCGGCGUGCUUAACACAUGCAAGUCGAACGGAAAGGCCCUGCUUUUGUGGGGUGCUCGAGUGGCGAACGGGUGAGUAACACGUGAGUAACCUGCCCUUGACUUUGGGAUAACUUCAGGAAACUGGGGCUAAUACCGGAUAGGAGCUCGUGCUGCAUGGUGGGGGUUGGAAAGUUUCGGCGGUUGGGGAUGGACUCGCGGCUUAUCAGCUUGUUGGGGGGGUAGUGGCUUACCAAGGCUUUGACGGGUAGCCGGCCUGAGAGGGUGACCGGCCACAUUGGGACUGAGAUACGGCACAGACUCCUACGGGAGGCAGCAGUGGGGAAUAUUGCACAAUGGGCGGAAGCCUGAUGCAGCAACGCCGCGUGCGGGAUGACGGCCUUCGGGUUGUAAACCGCUUUCGCCUGUGACGAAGCGUGAGUGACGGUAAUGGGUAAAGAAGCACCGGCUAACUACGUG